This 139-nucleotide ribosomal RNA is filed under the name Plicatalloptes sp. 1 LMS-2018. Its description in RNAcentral is "partial 16S large subunit ribosomal RNA". The record is from RNAcentral. Lineage: Eukaryota; Metazoa; Arthropoda; Arachnida; Sarcoptiformes; Alloptidae.
AAUUUUCUAAGGAUAAAAGGAAUUUUUUUUUUGAAUUUAUAUUUUUGUUGAAAAUACCAAUAUAUUUUAUUAGACUAAAAGACCCUAGAAUUUUUGUCGACUUUUCGACUUUAUUGGGGUAAUAUAAGUAUCUAAAUAA